Molecule: ribosomal RNA, 579 nt
Filed under: uncultured marine bacterium
Lineage: Bacteria
Description: bacterial SSU rRNA
Rfam family: Bacterial small subunit ribosomal RNA
Source: RNAcentral
UGCAAGUCGAACGAACCUUCGGGUUAGUGGCGGACGGGUGAGUAACGCGUGGGACUCUGCCCUCAGGAGGGGGAUAACGGUUGGAAACGGCCGCUAAUACCCCAUAUGCCGAGAGGUGAAAUGAAUUUCGCAUGAGGAUGAGCCCGCGUCUGAUUAGCUAGUUGGUGAGGUAAGAGCUCACCAAGGCAUCGAUCAGUAGCUGGUCUGAGAGGAUGAUCAGCCACACUGGGACUGAGACACGGCCCAGACUCCUACGGGAGGCAGCAGUGGGGAAUUUUCCGCAAUGGGCGAAAGCCUGACGGAGCAACGCCGCGUGAGGGAUGAAGGCCUCUGGGCUGUAAACCUCUUUUAUCAAGGAAGAAGAUCUGACGGUACUUGAUGAAUAAGCCACGGCUAAUUCCGUGCCAGCAGCCGCGGUAAUACGGGAGUGGCAAGCGUUAUCCGGAAUUAUUGGGCGUAAAGCGUCCGCAGGCGGCCCAACAAGUCUGCUGUUAAAAAGUGGAGCUUAACUCCAUCAUGGCAGUGGAAACUGUUGGGCUCGAGUGUGGUAGGGGCAGAGGGAAUUCCCGGUGUAGCGGU